CCUCGCUGGUCAGUUACGAGUCAGCACGCGCUGCGGAUGAGUUCAUUCAGCAAGCCGAUAGGAAGAAGGACAUCUCAUGUUAUGGAAAUAACGAGAAAUUAACUCUAGUGUGUUUGACAGAUAGGCUACGCUUGGUUCUUUUCAAAGAUGUUUGGGUGAAGACACUUGUUUACACGCUGCAGUGUCUCGAGGUGAAUAACGUCGCUUUAAACAUGGCCCACCUCAUAUGGUUCAGUCUUGACUCGGCACCAGUCCAGCAGCAUUUGUUUGACAUCUUUGGUAUUUGGGCCCCCGACUGCUGAGCCGCCCGACACUUUAACCCUGGCCACAUGGGACUGAGCCAGAUCAGGAGGAAAACAACACAAUCGGUCAAUGGGAUCCGUCCCAUGCUGUCGUCCUGUCAGGACUCUAGGAAUGACUCACCUGCCCACAGUUUUUGGAGAGGAAGUAGAGGUUGGUGGAGAAAAUGUUUUUGCCUGAGCCAUCCCUGUACCCAAGGUGAGGUAAAAAGAGAUAUGGAAGGUUAUCAAAGCCUUGCAGAUUGAAGAGCAGGUACACAGUGUUCAGAUCCUCAUGAAUAAUGUUCACUCACUGUGUGCAUUGUACUGAGCGCCGCUCGUAACAUUAGUGGGUUUCUGGUCCUUAUUCAGACCAGCAGCUGUCUUUCCUCCACCACUCUGCUGACGCAGGGUCUCCAUUCGGGCCGCCCGUUCCCUAUCACGCCGCUCUGACAGAAACAGAGGAGUUUAACUCAAAAAACAGUAAAAAAAAAAAAAAAAAAAAAAAAAAAGCUAUCUAAAUUAUUGUUUUCUAAAUAAUACACAGUAUUUAAGUACUGUAAUACAAAAAAAAUCUCAUCGACAGUUAUGAGAAUUGCCCUGUCCAGAUACUUUUCCCCCACUAAGUAUAAUUAGCAUAAAUACUAAAGACAGUACAGCAAGGCAUGAAUUAUGCUUACAGUAAUAAUGUCACAAAAAACUUCAUUUUCUUUAUGCAAAAUAUUUUAAUUUAUUUUGACUUAAAUGUGAUCAAUAUUCCUAACAAGUUUUGUGAGAUUAACCAAAAAUAAUGUUGGGAAGCACAUUAGACUCAACAGACCAUUUCUGAGCCAUAUAUACUGAAUAUGUGACAUUAAGGACAUGCCCUGGUCCUCACCCCUCUUUCUCUUCAGCAGUUCUCUCAUGGCAGCGCGGAUCAUUUUCCUCUCCUCGAAAUCCACAGCCUUAUCUAGCUAGUACAUGCAAUGAACAGAAGAGAAACGCUUUCCUGAAUAUGGUUAAGACAAACUAUGAUAACAAACCAACUGCAACUGUAGUGCCAUUAGCUGCCUCUUACCAUAUUAUUGAGGAUCUCUUCAUCCUCUAUAGCUGCCAGCUGUUCGGCUGUCAGGGGACCUGUCGUAUCAGGUUGCUCUUUGGUACCUGGCUCUAAUGUUCCCUUCUCACCCUCCAUCUUCAGUGACAGCUGGGACAGAAAGAGGAACAGGAGGUGUUGAUGGAGCCAGAUUACGAGAUGUGUGUAUCUCCAUGUGUGCAUGGGAAUGAGGGAGUACGUUUAUGGAUAGGAAAAUUGAGCGAAAGAGAUUCUAGCUGAACACUUUGUGCGAGAGCUACUAGUACAGAAAUAUUUUGAAACCCCAAGAUGCUUGUUUGAAGCUAUAAAUCGCUAUUAGUCACAGCCAAAUUACUGGUUUGAGCGGCUUCUGAACAAACAGGUUACAUAAAAAAAUAUUUACGUGGUUGUUUUUUCACAUAUUAAAUGUCAAGCUGCUUUAGGAGACACAUAAUGAUGACCGUUUGCAUCCAUUUAUGUGGAAAAGGACAU
Cyprinus carpio (common carp) is the source of this 1824-nucleotide long non-coding RNA. RefSeq lists it as uncharacterized. The transcript has 2 exons. The record is from RefSeq and is a predicted model, not a curated record. Lineage: Eukaryota; Metazoa; Chordata; Actinopteri; Cypriniformes; Cyprinidae.